AUUCCAAAGUCAGAUCCCGGCUGGAACAUUUCAGCUUGGCUGCCACGUCAGUUUGCCUACACCAUCCUAGCCCGCUUGUUAUCCAAGCUUUUCCGCAAGAAAGUCAGUGAAAGGAAGAGAAAACGAAGACAAAGACAGCUGUUUCACUUUUUCAUUUGAAUCAGUUCUUUAAUAUUUUUUUAGAUUGCGUUUUUGAUGGAAGAAGACAACGAAGGCUUGAGAGAGAGCGAGUGUCCUUGUGUAGCGACCUACAGACGCAAUGACCUCUGGGUCCUUCCUCUCAGUCCUUUUCACCCCCCACCCAGCCUGCCCAGUGUUCAGACUACCUGUUCCUACGGCUACAGUUGAACAGUAGUCUGCACAUUGGUUAGGCCAGGCUGGGAUGCACGCAGCUCCUCACCUCUGAUGACAACAAACCUCCAUAAGGAUAUGUACAGUCUGUAACAUCGUCACCAUUUGCUGCAAUUUAACCGAUUUGUACCUGUUUCUGUCACAUUAAAGAAGUCAAUGAAGCA
Xiphophorus maculatus (southern platyfish) is the source of this 515-nucleotide long non-coding RNA. RefSeq lists it as uncharacterized. The transcript is spliced from 2 exons. NCBI's taxonomy places the organism in Eukaryota, Metazoa, Chordata, Actinopteri, Cyprinodontiformes, Poeciliidae. The record is from RefSeq and is a predicted model, not a curated record.